CCUACGGGGGGCAGCAGUGGGGAAUAUUGGACAAUGGGGGCAACCCUGAUCCAGCCAUGCCGCGUGUGUGAAGAAGGCCCUCGGGUUGUAAAGCACUUUCAGUGAGGAAGAACGCCUGGUGGUUAAUACCCAUCAGGAAAGACAUCACUCACAGAAGAAGCACCGGCUAACUCCGUGCCAGCAGCCGCGGUAAUACGGAGGGUGCGAGUGUUAAUCGGAAUUACUGGGCGUAAAGCGCGCGUAGGUGGCUUGAUAAGCCGGUUGUGAAAGCCCCGGGCUCAACCUGGGAACGGCAUCCGGAACUGUCAAGCUAGAGUGCAGGAGAGGAAGGUAGAAUUCCCGGUGUAGCGGUGAAAUGCGUAGAGAUCGGGAGGAAUACCAGUGGCGAAGGCGGCCUUCUGGACUGACACUGACACUGAGGUGCGAAAGCGUGGGUAGCAAACAGGAUUAGAUACCCUAGUAGUC
RNAcentral lists this ribosomal RNA (465 nucleotides) under Vreelandella stevensii. RNAcentral describes it as "partial 16S ribosomal RNA". It matches the Rfam family "Bacterial small subunit ribosomal RNA", at positions 338 to 795 of the family's 1533-position model. Lineage: Bacteria; Pseudomonadati; Pseudomonadota; Gammaproteobacteria; Oceanospirillales; Halomonadaceae. The record is from RNAcentral.